GAAAAGAAACCAACAGGGAUUGCCUCAGUAACGGCGAGUGAAGCGGCCAGCUAAAUUUGAAAUCUGGCCGCAAGGUCCGAGUUGUAAUUUGUAGAGGAUGCUUUUGGCGAGGUGACUUCCGAGUUCCCUGGAACGGGACGCCAUAGAGGGUGAGAGCCCCGUACGGUAGUGACACCGAGCCUCUGUAAAGCUCCUUCGACGAGUCGAGUAGUUUGGGAAUGCUGCUCUAAAUGGGAGGUGUAAGUCUUCUAAAGCUAAAUACCGGCCAGAGACCGAUAGCGCACAAGUAGAGUGAUCGAAAGAUGAAAAGCACUUUGAAAAGAGAGUUAAAAAGUACGUGAAAUUGUUGAAAGGGAAGCAUUUAUGACCAGACUUGGGCUUGGUUGAACAUCCGGCGUUCUCGCCGGUGCACUCUGCCAGCCUAGGCCAGCAUCAGUUCACGCCGGGGGACAAAGGUAGCGGGAAUGUGACUCCCUCCGGGGAGUGUUAUAGCCCGUUGCGCAAUGCCCUGGGGGGAGAACGCGCUUCGGCACGGAUGCUGGCGUAAUGGUCAUCAAUGACCC
RNAcentral lists this ribosomal RNA (563 nucleotides) under uncultured fungus. RNAcentral describes it as "eukaryotic LSU rRNA". It matches the Rfam family "Eukaryotic large subunit ribosomal RNA", at positions 56 to 650 of the family's 3401-position model. Lineage: Eukaryota; Fungi. The record is from RNAcentral.